AUACGUAGGGGGCGAGCGUUGUCCGGAAUGAUUGGGCGUAAAGGGCGCGUAGGCGGGCGUGCAAGUUAGGUGUGAAAACCUGGGGCUCAACUCCAGACUGGCAUCUAAAACUGCACAUCUUGAGUGACAGAGGGGAAAGUGGAAUUCCUGGGGGAGCGGUAAAAUGCGUAGAGAUCAGGAGGAACACCGGUGGCGAAGGCGACUUUCUGGCUGACAACUGACGCUGAGGCGCGAAAGCGUGGGGAGCGAACAGGAUUAGAUACCCUGGUAGUCCACGCCGUAAACGAUGAUUACUAGGUGUAGGGGGUAUCGACUCCCUCUGUGCCGCAGUUAACGCAUUAAGUAAUCCACCUGGGGAGUACGGCCGCAAGGUUAAAACUCAAAGGAAUUGACGGGG
This 397-nucleotide ribosomal RNA is filed under the name uncultured bacterium. RNAcentral describes it as "partial 16S ribosomal RNA". It matches the Rfam family "Bacterial small subunit ribosomal RNA", at positions 523 to 918 of the family's 1533-position model. The record is from RNAcentral.